Molecule: ribosomal RNA, 1141 nt
Filed under: Campylobacter coli
Lineage: Bacteria; Pseudomonadati; Campylobacterota; Epsilonproteobacteria; Campylobacterales; Campylobacteraceae
Description: partial 23S ribosomal RNA
Rfam family: Bacterial large subunit ribosomal RNA
Source: RNAcentral
GAAACUUACAACAAAGAGUCCCUCCCGACUGUUUACCAAAAACACAGCACUCUGCUAACUCGUAAGAGGAUGUAUAGGGUGUGACGCCUGCCCGGUGCUCGAAGGUUAAUUGAUGGGGUUAGCAUUAGCGAAGCUCUUGAUCGAAGCCCGAGUAAACGGCGGCCGUAACUAUAACGGUCCUAAGGUAGCGAAAUUCCUUGUCGGUUAAAUACCGACCUGCAUGAAUGGCGUAACGAGAUGGGAGCUGUCUCAAAGAGGGAUCCAGUGAAAUUGUAGUGGAGGUGAAAAUUCCUCCUACCCGCGGCAAGACGGAAAGACCCCGUGGACCUUUACUACAGCUUGACACUGCUAUUUGGAUAAGAAUGUGCAGGAUAGGUGGGAGGCUUUGAGUAUAUGACGCCAGUUGUAUAUGAGCCAUUGUUGAGAUACCACUCUUUCUUAUUUGGGUAGCUAACCAGCUUGAGUUAUCCUCAAGUGGGACAAUGUCUGGUGGGUAGUUUGACUGGGGCGGUCGCCUCCCAAAUAAUAACGGAGGCUUACAAAGGUUGGCUCAGAACGGUUGGAAAUCGUUCGUAGAGUAUAAAGGUAUAAGCCAGCUUAACUGCAAGACAUACAAGUCAAGCAGAGACGAAAGUCGGUCUUAGUGAUCCGGUGGUUCUGUGUGGAAGGGCCAUCGCUCAAAGGAUAAAAGGUACCCCGGGGAUAACAGGCUGAUCUCCCCCAAGAGCUCACAUCGACGGGGAGGUUUGGCACCUCGAUGUCGGCUCAUCGCAUCCUGGGGCUGGAGCAGGUCCCAAGGGUAUGGCUGUUCGCCAUUUAAAGCGGUACGCGAGCUGGGUUCAGAACGUCGUGAGACAGUUCGGUCCCUAUCUGCCGUGGGCGUAAGAAGAUUGAAGAGAUUUGACCCUAGUACGAGAGGACCGGGUUGAACAAACCACUGGUGUAGCUGUUGUUCUGCCAAGAGCAUCGCAGCGUAGCUAAGUUUGGAAAGGAUAAACGCUGAAAGCAUCUAAGCGUGAAGCCAACUCUAAGAUGAAUCUUCUCUAAGCUCUCUAGAAGACUACUAGUUUGAUAGGCUGGGUGUGUAAUGGAUGAAAGUCCUUUAGCUGACCAGUACUAAUAGAGCGUUUGGCUUAUCUUU